RNAcentral lists this ribosomal RNA (253 nucleotides) under uncultured bacterium. RNAcentral's name for it is "partial 16S ribosomal RNA". It matches the Rfam family "Bacterial small subunit ribosomal RNA", at positions 524 to 776 of the family's 1533-position model. The record is from RNAcentral.
UACGGAGGGGGCAAGCGUUAUUCGGAAUCAUUGGGCGUAAAGGGCGUGUAGGCGGCUUUGUUUGUCUCAUGUGAAAGCCCUCGGCUCAACCGGGGAACUGCAUGGGAAACGGCAGAGCUUGAGUCCGGGAGAGGAUAGUGGAAUUCCCAGUGUAGCGGUGAAAUGCGUAGAUAUUGGGAGGAACACCAGUGGCGAAGGCGGCUAUCUGGACCGGUACUGACGCUGAGACGCGAAAGCCAGGGGAGCAAACGGG